UACGAAGGGGGCUAGCGUUGCUCGGAAUCACUGGGCGUAAAGGGUGCGUAGGCGGGUCUUUAAGUCUGGGGUGAAAUCCUGGAGCUCAACUCCAGAACUGCCUUUGAUACUGAGGAUCUUGAGUUCGGGAGAGGUGAGUGGAACUGCGAGUGUAGAGGUGAAAUUCGUAGAUAUUCGCAAGAACACCAGUGGCGAAGGCGGCUCACUGGCCCGAUACUGACGCUGAGGCACGAAAGCGUGGGGAGCGAACAGG
This 253-nucleotide ribosomal RNA is filed under the name uncultured bacterium. RNAcentral describes it as "partial 16S ribosomal RNA". It matches the Rfam family "Bacterial small subunit ribosomal RNA", at positions 524 to 776 of the family's 1533-position model. The record is from RNAcentral.